UACAGAGGUCUCAAGCGUUGUUCGGAUUCAUUGGGCGUAAAGGGUGCGUAGGUGGCGGGGUAAGUCGGAUGUUAAAUCCCGGGGCUCAACCCCGGAACUGCAUUCGAUACUGCCUUGCUCGAGUACUGGAGAGGAGAUUGGAAUUUACGGUGUAGCAGUGAAAUGCGUAGAUAUCGUAAGGAAGACCAGUGGCGAAGGCGAAUCUCUGGACAGUUACUGACACUGAGGCACGAAGGCCAGGGGAGCAAACGGG
RNAcentral lists this ribosomal RNA (253 nucleotides) under uncultured bacterium. RNAcentral describes it as "partial 16S ribosomal RNA". It matches the Rfam family "Bacterial small subunit ribosomal RNA", at positions 524 to 776 of the family's 1533-position model. The record is from RNAcentral.